UACGAAGGGUGCAAGCGUUACUCGGAAUUACUGGGCGUAAAGCGUGCGUAGGUGGUUCGUUAAGUCAGACGUGAAAUCCCUCGGCUUAACCGGGGAACUGCGUCUGAUACUGGAUGGCUUGAGUUUGGGAGAGGGAUGCGGAAUUCCAGGUGUAGCGGUGAAAUGCGUAGAUAUCUGGAGGAACACCGGUGGCGAAGGCGGCAUCCUGGACCAACACUGACGCUGAGUGAGCGAAAGCCAGGGGAGCAAACGGG
Molecule: ribosomal RNA, 254 nt
Filed under: uncultured bacterium
Lineage: Bacteria
Description: partial 16S ribosomal RNA
Rfam family: Bacterial small subunit ribosomal RNA
Source: RNAcentral